This 230-nucleotide unclassified non-coding RNA is filed under the name soil metagenome. Its description in RNAcentral is "partial contains small subunit ribosomal RNA, internal transcribed spacer 1, and 5.8S ribosomal RNA". The record is from RNAcentral.
UUUCCGUAGGUGAACCUGCGGAAGGAUCAUUAUCGAUUCAAGAGGAUGUGCUGGCUCAUUCUGUUGGGAAGAGCAUUGUGCACUCUCUCAAAUCUCACUCUAUUCACCUGUGCACAUUUGGUAGGCAUGAGGAAACUCAUUGUCUAUUGUUUUUCAUACACACCUCAUGAAUUUUAAUUGAACAAACUUGAUAAAUGUAACAACUUUCAACAAUGGAUCUCUUGGUUCUC